RNAcentral lists this transfer RNA (84 nucleotides) under Pneumocystis wakefieldiae. RNAcentral describes it as "tRNA-Ser". It matches the Rfam family "tRNA". From Rfam's summary of the family: Transfer RNA (tRNA) molecules are approximately 80 nucleotides in length. Their secondary structure includes four short double-helical elements and three loops (D, anti-codon, and T loops). The record is from RNAcentral. Lineage: Eukaryota; Fungi; Ascomycota; Pneumocystomycetes; Pneumocystales; Pneumocystaceae.
GGAUAAGUGGCCGAGAGGUCUAAGGCAUGAUACUUGAAAUAUCAAACACCCUCCGUGUCGCGAGUUCGAAUCUCGCCUUAUCCG